UACAGAGGUCUCGAGCGUUAGGCGGAAUCACUGGGCUUAAAGCGUGUGUAGGUGGAUCGUUAAGUACCUUGUGAAAUCCCACGGCUUAACCGUGGAACUGCUUGGUAUACUGGCGGUCUUGAGCCAGCUAGGGGCUACCGGAACAAAUGGUGGAGCGGUGAAAUGCGUAGAUAUCAUUUGGAACGCCAAUGGUGAAAACAGGUAGCUGGGGCUGUGCUGACGCUGAGACACGAAAGCCAGGGGAGCAAACGGG
This 253-nucleotide ribosomal RNA is filed under the name uncultured bacterium. RNAcentral's name for it is "partial 16S ribosomal RNA". It matches the Rfam family "Bacterial small subunit ribosomal RNA", at positions 524 to 776 of the family's 1533-position model. The record is from RNAcentral.